CCCGUUUCUUAUAUGGCCUGAGCCUGACACACUAUUCUAGCUAGACAUGGGUGUGGCUCGUAACACCUGAUGACCAAACGGAUCUACGGCACCAUCAAAUCUCAAACUUUAACUGCCAAAACUAUUCUUUUUCAUUCUGUAGUCCCUUCUAGAAUUACUAAACGUCCUUUUUUGGGCCGAGAUUUCCAGGAACGCUUUCUCGGGGUUUGUGUGCAUGUAUUUCAAACCAUACAGACCUAAAAAUUAUAAGUCAUUCCAUCUUUAUUCCCGUAGAGCCUUCCAGUAGUUCCUAAACCGCUCCAGUCGGAGCAUGUUAUCAUUCUUGUUAGUUCUAAGUGAAUUCCCUCGGUAUGAUAAUUCUUUCAUCAGUUUGUUCCCCGUUUCUUCUCUAGCCUGAGCCUGGCACACUAGUCUAGCUAGACAUGGGUGUGGCUCGUAACACCCGAUGACUAAAUGGAUCGACGGCACCAUCGAAUCUCAAACUUUAACUGCCAAAACUAUUGUUUUUCAUCCUGUAGUCCCAUUUAGAAUUACUAAACGUCCUUUUUUGGGCCGAGAUUUAGAGGAACGCUUUCUCGUGGUUUGUGUGCAAGAAUUUCAAACCAUACGGACCUAAAAAUUAGAAGUCAUUCCAUCUUUAUUCCCCUAGAGCCUUCCAGUAGUUCCUAAACCGCUCUAGUCGGAGCACGUUAUCAUUCUUGUUAGUUCUGAGAGAAUUCCCUCGGUAUGAUAAUUCUUUUAUCAGUUUGUUCCCCGUUUCUUCUCUAGCCUGAGCCCGACACACUAUUCUAGCUAGACAUGGGUGUGGCUCGUAACACCUGAUGACCAAACGGAUCUACGGCACCAUCGAAUCUCAAACUUUAACUGCCAAAACUAUUGUUUUUCAUCCUGUAGUCCCUUUUAGAAUUACUAAAUGUCCUUUUUUGGGCCGAGAUUUCCAGGAACGCUUUCUCAGGGUUUGUGUGCAAGUAAUUCAAACCAUACGGACCUAAAAAUUAGAAGUCAUUCCAUCUUUAUUCCCCUAGAGCCUUCCAGCAGUUCCUAAACCGCUCAAGUCAGUGCACGUUAUCAUUCUUGUUAGUUCUAAGUGAAUUCCCUCGGUAUGAUAAUUUGUUCAUCAGUUUGUUCCCCGUUUCUUCUCUAGCCUGAGCCUGACACACUAUUCUAGCUAGACAUGGGUGUGGCUCGUAACACCUGAUGACCAAACGGAUCUACGACACCAUCGAAUCUCAAACUUUAACUACCAAAACUAUUGUUUUUCAUCCUCUAGUCCCUUUUAGAAUUACUAAACGUCCUUUUUUGGGCCGAGAUUUCCAGGAACGCUUUCUCGGGGUUUGUGUGCAUGUAUUUCAAACCAUACAGACCUAAAAAUUAGAAGUCAUUCCAUCUUUAUUCCCGUAGAGCCUUCCAGCAGUUCCUAAACCGCUCCAGUCGGAGCAUGUUAUCAUUCUUGUUUGUUCUGAGUGAAUUCCCUCGGUAUGAUAAUUCUAUCAUCAGUUUGUUCCCCGUUUCUUCUCUAGCCUGAGCCUGGCAAACUAUUCUAGCUAGACAUGGGUGUGGCUCGUAACACCUGAUGACCAAACGGAUCUACGACACCAUCGAAUCUCAAACUUUAACUACCAAAACUAUUGUUUUUCAUUCUAUAGUCCCUUCUAGAAUUUCUAAACGUCCUUUUUUGGGCCGAGAUUUCCAGGAAUGCUUUCUCGGGGUUUGUGUGCAAGUAUUUCAAAUCAUACGGACCUAAAAAUUAGAAGUCAUUCCAUCUUUAUUCCCCUAGAGCCUUCCAGUAGUUCCUAAACCGCUCCAGUCGGAGCACGUUAUCAUUCUUGUUAGUUCAUAGUGAAUUCCCUCGGUAUGAUAAUUCUUUCAUCAGUUUGUUCCCCGUUUCUUCUCUAGCCUGAGCCUGGCACAGUAUUCUAGCUAGACAUGGGUGUGGUCGUAACACCUGAUGACUAAAUGGAUCGACGGCACCAUCGAAUCUCAAACUUUAACUGCCAAAACUAUUGUUUUUCAUCCUGUAAUCCCAUUUAGAAUUACUAAACGUCCUUUUUUGGGCCGAGAUUUAGAGGAACGCUUUGUUGGGGUUUGUGUGCAAGUAUUUCAAACCAUACGGACCUAAAAAUUAGAACUCAUUCCAUAUUUAUUCCCCUUGAGCCUUCCAGCAGUUCCUAAACCGCUCUAGUCGGAGCACGUUAUCAUUCUUGUUAGUUCUAAGAGAAUUCCCUCGGUAUGAUAAUUCUUUUAUCAGUUUGUUCCCCGUUUCUUCUCUAGACUGGGCCCGACACACUAUUCUAGCUAGACAUGGGUGUGGCUCGUAACACCUGAUGACCAAACGGAUCUACGGCACCAUCGAAUCUCAAACUUCAACUGCCAAAACUAUUGUUUUUCAUCCUGUAGUCCCUUUUAGAAUUACUAAACGUCCUUUUUUGGGCCGAGAUUUCCAGGAACGCUUUCUCGGGGUUUGUGUGCAAGUAUUUCAAACCAUACGGACCUAAAAAUUAGAAGUCAUUCCAUCUUUAUUCCCGUAGAGCCAUCCAGCAGUUCCUAAACCGCUCCAGUCGGAGCACGUUAUCAUUCUUGUUAGUUCUGAGUGAAUUCCCUCGGUAUGAUAAUUCUUUCAUCAGUUUGUUCCCCGUUUCUUCUCUAGCCUGAGCCUGACAAACUAUUAUAGCUAGACAUGGGUGUGGCUCGUAACACCUGAUGACCAAACGGAUCUAUGGCACCAUCGAAUCUCAAACUUUAACUGCCAAAACUAUUGUUUUUCAUCCUGUAGUCCCUUUUAGAAUUACUAAACGCCCUUCUUUGGGACGAGAUUUCCAGGAACGCUUUCUCGGGGUUUGUGUGAAAGUAAUUCAAACCAUACGGACCUAAAAAUUAGAAGUCAUUCCAUCUUUAUUCCCGUGGAGCCUUCCAGUAGUUCCUAAACCGCUCCAGUCGGAGCACGUUAUCAUUCUUGUUAGUUCUGAGUGAAUUCCCUCGGUAUGAUAAUUCUUUCAUCAGUUUGUUCCCUGUUUCUUCUCUAGCCUGAGCCUGGCACACUAUUCUAGCUAGACAUGGGUGUGGCUCGUAACACCUGAUGACUAAACUGAUCAAUGACACCAUCGAAUCUCAAACUUUAACUGCCAAAACUAUUGUUUUUCAUCCUGUAGUCCCAUUUAGAAUUACUAAACGUCCUUUUUUGGGCCGAGAUUUCCAGGAACGCUUACUCGGGGUUUGUGUGCAAGUAUUUCAAACCAUACUGACCUAAAAAUUAGAAGUCAAUCCAUCUUUAUUCCCCUAGAGCCUUCCAGCAGUUCCUAAACCGCUCCAGUCGGAGCACGUUAUCAUUCUUGUUAGUUCUGAGUGAAUUCCCUCGGUAUGAUAAUUCUUUCAUCAGUUUGUUCCUUGUUUCUUCUCUAGCCUGAACCUGACACACUAUUCUAGCUAGACAUGGGUGUGGCUCGUAACACCUGAUGACCAAACGGAUCUACGGCACCAUCGAAUCUCAAACUUUAACUGCCAAAACUAUUAUUUUUAAUCCUCUAGUCCCAUUUAGAAUUACUAAACGUCCUUUUUUGGGCCGAGAUUUAGAGGAACGCUUUCAUGCGGUUUGUGUGCAAGUAUUUCAAACCAUACGGACCUAAAAAUUAGAAGUCAUUCCAUCUUUAUUCCCCUAGAGCCUUCCAGCAGUUCCUAAACCGCUCCAGUCGGAGCAUGUUAUCAUUCUUGUUAGUUCUGAGUGAAUUCCCUCGGUAUGAUAAUUCUUUCAUCAGUUUGUGGCCCGUUUCUUCUCUAGCCUGAGCCUGACACACUAUUCUAGCUAGACGUGGGUGUGGCUCGUAACACCUGAUGACCAAACGGAUCUACGGCACCAUCGAAUCUCAAACUUUAAGUGCCAAAACUAUUAUUUUUAAUCCUGUAGUCCCAUUUAGAAUUAC
This 3917-nucleotide long non-coding RNA is filed under the name Triticum aestivum (bread wheat). RNAcentral's name for it is "long non-coding RNA (TAES_LNC028121)". Lineage: Eukaryota; Viridiplantae; Streptophyta; Magnoliopsida; Poales; Poaceae. The record is from RNAcentral.